ACCAAUGUUCAAAAAUCUGAAACUCAAGAUUCCCGCUCAACAAAAACCAUAACCUUUGUAUUCACUUAUAAAUACAUCCAUAUACCUUUACAAAAGGGAGUUUUUCUGUCGCCUCUUUCCCCUCCAGCUUUGCAAUUUUCUUAUAACUUUAAGAAAGAAUUUUUAUCUCUCUUUACUCCUAUUGGACGACAACAGAGGUAUUUCAAAGUUCUCGAACUUGUUCAUUACGAGAGUAUAGAUUCGAGGCCGAUAGGAUCCCAGUUCACUGCCCCACAAACGGUAAUCUCAACUGCCUUUCUUUAUUAUAUUUUACCAUUUUGUUCAGCAUCUUGGUGCUAGUUUAGGAGUCCAUGUUAGUCUUUUGUUAUUCUGUAUGGAAGUGAUAUAUAGUUCAAGGCUUGUGUUUCAUCAUAUAUACCUUUCUAUUUGAGUCUGUUGACUUUUUUUUUAGUAAAGUCUUGUUAAUUAGAAACCUAUUGUAAAUCGUCCAGUUUCGGCUAAAAUAUUUCUUGUCGGUUCUAAAUAUACUUGUCACUCACAAGUCUUGAUUUUAUUUCGUUUUAAUGACUAGUUUGUGAGAACUUGGUUCACAAAAGUUUUAAGCGGCAUGUUGGUUGAAUUUCUCAUAAUUAAGUUCACUGUUUUGGAUCCUUUAUUUCAGUUCCUAUUUUAGUAACAAAGAUGUGAGAGAUUAUCAAUGCUAAAUGAAAUAUUUGUUACAGUAAAGCUUAAGUUGUAUUUAAUACUUAUUGUUGGAGUUAAAAAACAUUUUGUUACUAUCAAACUAUGCCAAAUUGCUAAUAUAUGUUUAACCGUUAUGUAACCUCUUUGUUUACCAU
RNAcentral lists this long non-coding RNA (839 nucleotides) under Solanum tuberosum (potato). Its description in RNAcentral is "long non-coding RNA (STUB_LNC002282)". Lineage: Eukaryota; Viridiplantae; Streptophyta; Magnoliopsida; Solanales; Solanaceae. The record is from RNAcentral.